This is a long non-coding RNA of Equus caballus (horse), 506 nucleotides long. RefSeq lists it as uncharacterized. NCBI's taxonomy places the organism in Eukaryota, Metazoa, Chordata, Mammalia, Perissodactyla, Equidae. The record is from RefSeq and is a predicted model, not a curated record.
CCGGUACUUACCGCCGGCCCGCGGCGGGCGGCCAUCCGUCUCCAGACGGCGGCGAAGUCGGGCGGCGGGGCUCGCGGGCUCCGGCAGACGAGGGAGCACAGGGUCCCCAGCAGGAAGGCGGCGGCGGCGCAGCCCAGCCCCCUCAGGGAAGGAGUCAGACAAAAGUGGAGGAGUAAAUGAAGCUUGCAAUCUCUAGUCUGGAGAGACCCGGAGAAGUCCGCCUGGUGCCAGAGGGUAUACACAGCUGCCAUCAUCACUUUGGCUCCAAGUCCCGGUAUUUUCGUUGCCAACAAUUCAGUACAAAUGCUAUUACUCAUGCGAGUGAAAGUGGUCCUGAUAAUUUUUAGAAGACGUAUUUUCCUCUUCUGUCAUGGUUCCAGCAUUAAUAUACAGAUAAUGCUUGCUGAGAAGAUGCCAAUGUGCUAGAUGAAUACUAGUAAUUACUGCUAGGACCAAUAAAGCAGCAGAUGUAUCUUUAAUGGAUAAAUAAAGGAAUUCUAAAGAGA